AGCAGCCGCGGUAAUUCCAGCUCCAAUAGCGUAUAUUAAAGUUGUUGCAGUUAAAAAGCUCGUAGUUGAAUUUCGGGAUCAAUUUGCUGGUCGUGCCUCUGGUACGUACUGGUAUUAUUGGUUUCUCCCUUCUGACGAACCAUGAUGUCAUUAAUUUGAUGUCGUGGAGAAUCAGGACUGUUACUUUGAAAAAAUUAGAGUGUUUAAAGCAGGCAUUAGUUUGAAUACAUUAGCAUGGAAUAAUGAAAUAGGACGUUUGAUCCUAUUUUGUUGGUUUCUAGGAUUGACGUAAUGAUUAAUAGGGAUAGUUGGGGGGCAUUAGUAUUCAAUUGUCAGAGGUGAAAUUCUUGGAUUUAUUGAAGACUAACUACUGCGAAAGCAUUUGCCAAGGAUGUUUUCAUUAAUCAAGAACGAAAGUUAGGGGAUCGAAGACGAUCAGAUACCGUCGUAGUCUUAACCAUAAACUAUGCCGACUAGGGAUCGGAUGAUGUUAAUUUUUUAAUGACUCAUUCGGCGCCUU
RNAcentral lists this unclassified non-coding RNA (520 nucleotides) under uncultured Glomus. Its description in RNAcentral is "SSU rRNA". It matches the Rfam family "Eukaryotic small subunit ribosomal RNA", at positions 569 to 1089 of the family's 1831-position model. Lineage: Eukaryota; Fungi; Glomeromycota; Glomeromycetes; Glomerales; Glomeraceae. The record is from RNAcentral.